UACGGGAGGCAGCAGUGGGGAAUAUUGCACAAUGGGGGAAACCCUGAUGCAGCCAUGCCGCGUGUAUGAAGAAGGCCUUCGGGUUGUAAAGUACUUUCAGUUGUGAGGAAGGCAGUAAAGUUAAUAGCUUUAUUGUUUGACGUUAGCAACAGAAGAAGCACCGGCUAACUCCGUGCCAGCAGCCGCGGUAAUACGGAGGGUGCGAGCGUUAAUCGGAAUUACUGGGCGUAAAGCGCAUGCAGGUGGUCUGUUAAGCAAGAUGUGAAAGCCCGGGGCUCAACCUCGGAACAGCAUUUUGAACUGGCAGACUAGAGUACUGUAGAGGGGGGUAGAAUUUCAGGUGUAGCGGUGAAAUGCGUAGAGAUCUGAAGGAAUACCGGUGGCGAAGGCGGCCCCCUGGACAGAUACUGACACUCAGAUGCGAAAGCGUGGGGAGCAAACAGGAUUAGAUACCCUGGUAGUCCACGCCGUAAACGAUGUCUACUUGGAGGUUGUGGCCUUGAGCCGUGGCUUUCGGAGCUAACGCGUUAAGUAGACCGCCUGG
RNAcentral lists this ribosomal RNA (544 nucleotides) under Photobacterium sp. 18III/A01/082. RNAcentral describes it as "bacterial SSU rRNA". It matches the Rfam family "Bacterial small subunit ribosomal RNA", at positions 340 to 876 of the family's 1533-position model. Lineage: Bacteria; Pseudomonadati; Pseudomonadota; Gammaproteobacteria; Vibrionales; Vibrionaceae. The record is from RNAcentral.